RNAcentral lists this transfer RNA (74 nucleotides) under Gemmatimonas sp. RNAcentral describes it as "tRNA-Ile". It matches the Rfam family "tRNA". Rfam says of the family: Transfer RNA (tRNA) molecules are approximately 80 nucleotides in length. Their secondary structure includes four short double-helical elements and three loops (D, anti-codon, and T loops). Further hydrogen bonds mediate the characteristic L-shaped molecular structure. tRNAs have two regions of fundamental functional importance: the anti-codon, which is responsible for specific mRNA codon recognition, and the 3' end, to which the tRNAs corresponding amino acid is attached (by aminoacyl-tRNA synthetases). tRNAs cope with the degeneracy of the genetic code in two manners: having more than one tRNA (with a specific anti-codon) for a particular amino acid; and 'wobble' base-pairing, i.e. permitting non-standard base-pairing at the 3rd anti-codon position. Lineage: Bacteria; Pseudomonadati; Gemmatimonadota; Gemmatimonadia; Gemmatimonadales; Gemmatimonadaceae. RNAcentral also lists the same sequence under 2 other names. The record is from RNAcentral.
GGUCCGGUAGCUCAGUCGGUUAGAGCAGGCGACUCAUAAUCGCUCGGUCGUGGGUUCGAGUCCCACCCGGACCA